UACAGAGGGUGCGAGCGUUAAUCGGAAUUACUGGGCGUAAAGCGCACGUAGGCGGCUUGGUAAGUUGGAUGUGAAAUCCCCGGGCUUAACUUGGGAAUUGCAUUCAAGACUGCCUUGCUAGAGUGUGGGAGAGGGAAGCGGAAUUCCAGGUGUAGCGGUGAAAUGCGUAGAUAUCUGGAGGAACACCGGUGGCGAAGGCGGCAUCCUGGACCGGCAUUGACGCUGAGGCGCGAAAGCCAGGGGAGCAAACGGG
This 253-nucleotide ribosomal RNA is filed under the name uncultured prokaryote. Its description in RNAcentral is "partial 16S ribosomal RNA". It matches the Rfam family "Bacterial small subunit ribosomal RNA", at positions 524 to 776 of the family's 1533-position model. The record is from RNAcentral.